This 253-nucleotide ribosomal RNA is filed under the name uncultured Prevotella sp. RNAcentral describes it as "partial 16S ribosomal RNA". It matches the Rfam family "Bacterial small subunit ribosomal RNA", at positions 524 to 776 of the family's 1533-position model. The record is from RNAcentral. Lineage: Bacteria; Pseudomonadati; Bacteroidota; Bacteroidia; Bacteroidales; Prevotellaceae.
UACGUAGGGGGCAAGCGUUAUCCGGAUUUACUGGGUGUAAAGGGAGCGUAGGCCGGCUUUUAAGUCAGCUGUGAAAGUCCGCGGCUCAACCGUGGAAUUGCAGUUGAAACUGGAGGCCUUGAGUGCACACAGGGAUGCCGGAAUUCAUGGUGUAGCGGUGAAAUGCUUAGAUAUCAUGAAGAACUCCGAUCGCGAAGGCAAGUGUCCGGGGUGCAACUGACGCUGAGGCUCGAAAGUGCGGGUAUCAAACAGG